This 877-nucleotide ribosomal RNA is filed under the name uncultured bacterium. Its description in RNAcentral is "bacterial SSU rRNA". It matches the Rfam family "Bacterial small subunit ribosomal RNA", at positions 505 to 1397 of the family's 1533-position model. The record is from RNAcentral.
GUGCCAGCAGCCGCGGUAAUACGUAGGGGACGAGCGUUAUCCGGAUUUAUUGGGCGUAAAGGGUGCGUAGGCGGUGAAUUAAGUUCAAGGUAAAAUUGUUGGGCUCAACCCAAUCAUGCCUGGAUACUGGUUUACUUGAGUUAGGUAGAGGUAAGUGGAACUCCAUGUGUAGCGGUAAAAUGCGUAAAUAUAUGGAAGAACACCUGUGGCGAAAGCGGCUUACUGGGCCUAUACUGACGCUGAGGCACGAAAGCGUGGGGAGCAAACAGGAUUAGAUACCCUGGUAGUCCACGCCGUAAACGAUGAGUACUAAGUGUCGGAGCAAUUCGGUGCUGAAGUUAACGCAUUAAGUACUCCGCCUGGGGAGUACGCACGCAAGUGUGAAACUCAAAGGAAUUGACGGGACCCCGCACAAGCGGUGGAGCAUGUUGUUUAAUUCGAAGAUACGCGAAGAACCUCACCAGGUCUUGACAUCUUCUGCAAAGCUAUAGAGAUAUAGUGGAGGUUAACAGAAUGACAGGUGGUGCAUGGUUGUCGUCAGCUCGUGUCGUGAGAUGUUGGGUUAAGUCCCGCAACGAGCGCAACCCUCAUUGCUAGUUACCAAUAUUAAGUUAGGGACUCUAGUGAGACUGCUAUUGAUAAAAUGGAGGAAGGUGGGGAUGACGUCAAAUCAUCAUGCCCCUUAUGACCUGGGCUACAAACGUGCUACAAUGGGCGAUACAAAGGGAUGCGAAGCCGUGAGGUGGAGCCAAACCCAUAAAGUCGUUCUCAGUUCGGAUUGAAGUCUGCAACUCGACUUCAUGAAGUUGGAAUCGCUAGUAAUCGCGAAUCAGAAUGUCGCGGUGAAUACGUUCUCGGGGUUUGACACACCGCCCGU